GAAAGCUGCCAUAAUCAGCUGCUGGAUAUAAAGGUAUAGCCCAUGAAGUUUAAAAAAGUAAAAGAAACGAAUUGGUUAAAUCAUUACUAGUUAAUUAUAGAUGUCGUGGCUCUCUUUUAUCAUGCCAGGUCAUUGAUCCUGUGGGCAUGCUAGCCUACUCAGUAGCUCAGCCAGCUAUAACUAGCUAGUGAACUCUAGCCUACAACGUUAACCUACUCACUUGAGCUGCAAAUCCCUACCAUUGGAAAUGAUUGUGCUACAGUAUAAUUAGCACCUAUCUCAGCAGAUGUCUUCAAUAUGUUUAUUGUUGUGCCAUAUUUCUAAAUCUUAAUUUGUAAAUUGUUCUUCCUGAAACCCACUAGAGGGCACUAUUUAAAAGGAUAUUUAAAAAAAUGUCUUAUGGGGGACCAUGCCCCCAAACCCCCCUAGUUUUGCUGGGUCACAGGAAAAUGUUUAGGUUUUAUCUAGGGGCUUAGCCCCUCCCCAAAAGUGGGAACCUAAAUUUGCCCCUGCCAGACAGGUCAGUGCAUCACCUUAUUAACACAUUUAAUAAUAUUCGAACCACACACAGUUACACACCGCAAUCAUACAAUAAACCAUACAGACAACAGACACCCUACAUGCCAUAACCACACCACACAACCCAUGAGUACAGUGCCCCUGUGCUGAGCCUGCCGGAAGUCGUUUUAGCAGAAGAUAGCUCCGUCAGGUUGAGCACACUGACAGUCAGGCCAGGGACAGCGAGGUGAAGACAAGCAGCAUAGCAGAAUAGCAAUCGACAGUGAAGCAGUGUCACGACAGACAGCAAAGCCCCCCCGCAAAGUGGCAAAGCAGCACAGGAUGGCAGCAAACAAACGCAGAAUGGCAACCAACAAGCCUCUGUAACGCUGUAUUUUUGCACUACAUUUUCUGUAUUUUUGUUUUAUUUCUACAGUUGUGUGAGUACACCAUGUUUGGUAUAUUUGUCUGUGUUUAGUGAUGCUAUUAAAUAUAUCAGCAUUAAAUUGAGGACUUCCAAUUGUAUUCCUCUCAUACAUUGGGGAAAGAUAAUGAGGAGUGGUCACUUAAAGUAAGCUCCAGGCAAGAGGCAAGGGGAUUGAAAUUGAUGCCUCAUAAAAAGGGUUUCCCAUCUAAUCACAAGGGGCCCCUCCUGUGUGUAUGCUUCAAGACCUGUGUUGAAACAGGAUUUUAGCAAUCCUGUUGUGCAACAUAUACACACAGGGAUCAGUUGAAAUAUUUUCUUCCUGUCUGAAAUGUGUCUCUAAAGAUUCCUUGUCCUUUUUCUUUAGUUAGGUCUGUGACAGCAAAGUUGUACUGACUGAUGAUGGCUGAGCCAGAGGGAAGAGUGGAUAUGUCCAUUAAUUACUUGAAGACACGCAAAGGAAUGACUAUGGCAGGAGAAAUAGUAAGUCCAACAAUCCUUCAAACUCUGUAUAAGUAAAAAAAAAAAAAAACAAGGAGGGAACAUUACUACUUUAUGGAAAACUUUACCAUUGUAACUUUGCUAAUUAACUUAAUCACUGACAGUCAGAUUGCUCACAGUGAGUUUCAUUUCUAAAGAAGCCAUACAACUUUGAACCUUGACAUUGCAUUGAACUGUCAUGGCAUGCUAAUACAAGAUUUUAUUUUUCUUUAAAUAUUCAGGUCCUUUGCUUAUUUUCCAUCGUUGGCAAAACUGUACCUGUCAAUGUGGGUUGUUACAUCAUUGUACCCCUUGCUGAGAUAGUUUUGGGCAUUUUUAUGCUGAUCAUCUUUACAAGGGGAUUGGAGAAGACAUCCUUUGAGGUUCACUGGCUUUUUUGUGUAAGUCUUUUAAGCACAAAUACUAUUAACAAAUGGGAUAUGCAUUCAGUGUUUUUUAAAUUAAAAGUAUUACUUUAUCACUAACAAAUAGCCACAGAGAUGUGGUUUAAAGGUUUAUUUACAGAUGCAUACAGAUUAAUUUAAGUCAAGUCCCUGGGUCAGGUCCUCAAAAGGCCUACAAAAGGAAAAGUGUAUCUAUUUCAGUGUCAGAAUGUUUGUUUGCCUUUCAGGACCUCCUCAGAGCUGUGACUGGGUCAGUAAUACUGUUGAUGACCUCAGCCAACUGUUUCAUCCACCUGAUUGCCAAAUCAGCGGCACUCAUAACAGGAGAGGUUUUUGGAUUGUGUGCAGGAUGCUUGUUUGGUUAUGAUGUGUUCUUAGUUUAUUCCAUGAUAAAGAGUAAAAAUAUGUCCACAACUGAUGAAGUGCCGCCUGGACAAGAGGAACAGUCCUAAACUAAGGCAUGCAGAAGAUGGCGCAAUCGAGACAGGAGGAAAGAAGAAGUCAUAGGAUUAAAUGAGUCUUAAGUCUA
Molecule: RNA transcript, 2335 nt
Organism: Clupea harengus (Atlantic herring)
Lineage: Eukaryota; Metazoa; Chordata; Actinopteri; Clupeiformes; Clupeidae
Gene name: proteolipid protein 2-like
Exons: 3
Source: RefSeq, a predicted model, not a curated record